GGAAUCUUGCGCAAUGGGCGAAAGCCUGACGCAGCAACGCCGCGUGCGGGAAGAAGGCUUUCGGGCUGUAAACCGCUUUCAGUAGGAACGAAACUGACGGUACCUACAGAAGAAGGAGCGGCCAACUAUGUGCCAGCAGCCGCGGUGACACAUAGGCUCCAAGCGUUGUCCGGAUUUAUUGGGCGUAAAGAGCUCGUAGGCGGUUGAGUAAGUCGGGUGUGAAAACUUUGGGCUUAACCCAAAGAUGCCACUCGAUACUGCUUUGACUUGAGUUCGGUAGGGGAGUGGGGAAUUCCUAGUGUAGCGGUGAAAUGCGCAGAUAUUAGGAGGAACACCGGUGGCGAAGGCGCCACUCUGGGCCGAAACUGACGCUGAGGAGCGAAAGCAUGGGUAGCAAACAGGAUUAGAUACCCUGGUAGUCCAUGCCGUAAACGGUGGGCACUAGGUGUGGGUCUCAACUAACGAGAUCCGCGCCGUCGCUAACGCAUUAAGUGACCCGCCUGGGGAGUACGGUCGCAAGACUAAAACUCAAAGGAAUUGACGG
Molecule: ribosomal RNA, 544 nt
Filed under: uncultured bacterium
Lineage: Bacteria
Description: bacterial SSU rRNA
Rfam family: Bacterial small subunit ribosomal RNA
Source: RNAcentral